RNAcentral lists this ribosomal RNA (717 nucleotides) under uncultured fungus. Its description in RNAcentral is "eukaryotic LSU rRNA". The stretch from base 273 to 426 matches the Rfam family "5.8S ribosomal RNA". Lineage: Eukaryota; Fungi. The record is from RNAcentral.
AAGUCGUAACAAGGUUUCCGUAGGUGAACCUGCGGAAGGAUCAUUAUAGAAAAUGACGUGAACUCUUAACGGAGUUCUCUCAAAGUGUUGGAGGGGAAGGCCUGCGCUUAAUUGCGCGGCUGUUUUUAAUCUCCUCCGCCUUUGAUACACACAUUGGAGUUUCUACUUUUUUGUUCUCUUUGGGAGGGUUCUGCUCUCCCAGAGGUAAACACAAACAAUCUUUUAUUAUACUAUUAACACAGUCAAAUGAAUUUUAAAAACAAAAUAUUCAAAACUUUCAACAACGGAUCUCUUGGUUCUCGCAUCGAUGAAGAACGCAGCGAACUGCGAUACGUAAUGUGAAUUGCAGAAUUCCGUGAAUCAUCGAAUCUUUGAACGCACAUUGCGCCCCUUGGUAUUCCGGGGGGCAUGCCUGUUUGAGCGUCAUUUCCCUCUCAAACUUUACGUUUGGUAGUGAGCGAUACUCUACUCUGGAGUUUGCUUGAAAAUGGGAGGCCAUAGGCGAAGCAUUGCUUUCCAAUCCUGCGGCCCUCUGCUUACUUCCCCUUGUGGGUUGUGGCAGGGGAAAGCGGGAGGCGCCUUGCCACGAUAGUCGUAUUAGGUUUUACCGACUCGGCGAAAGUGAAGAGGUUUGCUUUUUAGGAGCAGGCAGCGUCUGGCUUGACAAAAUUCUCAAAGUUUGACCUCAAAUCAGGUAGGAUUACCCGCUGAACUUAA